This 1516-nucleotide ribosomal RNA is filed under the name Pectobacterium carotovorum subsp. carotovorum. Its description in RNAcentral is "bacterial SSU rRNA". It matches the Rfam family "Bacterial small subunit ribosomal RNA". Lineage: Bacteria; Pseudomonadati; Pseudomonadota; Gammaproteobacteria; Enterobacterales; Pectobacteriaceae. The record is from RNAcentral.
UCUGGCUCAGAUUGAACGCUGGCGGCAGGCCUAACACAUGCAAGUCGAGCGGUAGCACAGAGGAGCUUGCUCCUUGGGUGACGAGCGGCGGACGGGUGAGUAAUGUCUGGGAAACUGCCUGAUGGAGGGGGAUAACUACUGGAAACGGUAGCUAAUACCGCAUAACCUCGCAAGAGCAAAGAGGGGGACCUUAGGGCCUCUCGCCAUCAGAUGUGCCCAGAUGGGAUUAGCUAGUAGGUGAGGUAAUGGCUCACCUAGGCGACGAUCCCUAGCUGGUCUGAGAGGAUGACCAGCCACACUGGAACUGAGACACGGUCCAGACUCCUACGGGAGGCAGCAGUGGGGAAUAUUGCACAAUGGGCGCAAGCCUGAUGCAGCCAUGCCGCGUGUGUGAAGAAGGCCUUCGGGUUGUAAAGCACUUUCAGCGAGGAGGAAGGCGGUAAGGUUAAUAACCUUAUCGAUUGACGUUACUCGCAGAAGAAGCACCGGCUAACUCCGUGCCAGCAGCCGCGGUAAUACGGAGGGUGCAAGCGUUAAUCGGAAUGACUGGGCGUAAAGCGCACGCAGGCGGUCUGUUAAGUUGGAUGUGAAAUCCCCGGGCUUAACCUGGGAACUGCAUUCAAAACUGACAGGCUAGAGUCUUGUAGAGGGGGGUAGAAUUCCAGGUGUAGCGGUGAAAUGCGUAGAGAUCUGGAGGAAUACCGGUGGCGAAGGCGGCCCCCUGGACAAAGACUGACGCUCAGGUGCGAAAGCGUGGGGAGCAAACAGGAUUAGAUACCCUGGUAGUCCACGCUGUAAACGAUGUCGAUUUGGAGGUUGUGCCCUUGAGGCGUGGCUUCCGGAGCUAACGCGUUAAAUCGACCGCCUGGGGAGUACGGCCGCAAGGUUAAAACUCAAAUGAAUUGACGGGGGCCCGCACAAGCGGUGGAGCAUGUGGUUUAAUUCGAUGCAACGCGAAGAACCUUACCUACUCUUGACAUCCAGAGAAUUCGCUAGAGAUAGCUUAGUGCCUUCGGGAACUCUGAGACAGGUGCUGCAUGGCUGUCGUCAGCUCGUGUUGUGAAAUGUUGGGUUAAGUCCCGCAACGAGCGCAACCCUUAUCCUUUGUUGCCAGCGAUUCGGUCGGGAACUCAAAGGAGACUGCCGGUGAUAAACCGGAGGAAGGUGGGGAUGACGUCAAGUCAUCAUGGCCCUUACGAGUAGGGCUACACACGUGCUACAAUGGCGUAUACAAAGAGAAGCGACCUCGCGAGAGCAAGCGGACCUCAUAAAGUACGUCGUAGUCCGGAUUGGAGUCUGCAACUCGACUCCAUGAAGUCGGAAUCGCUAGUAAUCGUAGAUCAGAAUGCUACGGUGAAUACGUUCCCGGGCCUUGUACACACCGCCCGUCACACCAUGGGAGUGGGUUGCAAAAGAAGUAGGUAGCUUAACCUUCGGGAGGGCGCUUACCACUUUGUGAUUCAUGACUGGGGUGAAGUCGUAACAAGGUAACCGUAGGGGAACCUGCGGCUGGACC